RNAcentral lists this ribosomal RNA (466 nucleotides) under uncultured bacterium. RNAcentral's name for it is "bacterial SSU rRNA". It matches the Rfam family "Bacterial small subunit ribosomal RNA", at positions 28 to 507 of the family's 1533-position model. The record is from RNAcentral.
GAUGAACGCUAGCGGCAGGCUUAACACAUGCAAGUCGAGGGGCAGCGCAGUGUAGCAAUACAUGGGCGGCGACCGGCGCACGGGUGCGUAACGCGUAUCCAACCUUCCCGUUACUCUUGGAUAGCCUUCCGAAAGGGAGAUUAAUACAAGAUGGUGUUCAAAUUCCGCAUGUUAUUUGAACUAAAGAUUUAUCGGUAACGGAUGGGGAUGCGUGACAUUAGGUAGAUGGCGGGGUAACGGCCCACCAUGGCGACGAUGUCUAGGGGUUCUGAGAGGAAGGUCCCCCACACUGGUACUGAGACACGGACCAGACUCCUACGGGAGGCAGCAGUGAGGAAUAUUGGGCAAUGGGCGCAAGCCUGACCCAGCAAUGCCGCGUGAAGGAAGACGGUUUUCGGAUUGUAAACUUCUUUUAAGAGGGACGAUAAUGACGGUACCUCUUGAAUAAGCCACGGCUAACUACGUG